This 68-nucleotide small RNA is filed under the name Ulvibacter sp. MAR_2010_11. RNAcentral describes it as "Flavo-1 RNA". The record is from RNAcentral. Lineage: Bacteria; Pseudomonadati; Bacteroidota; Flavobacteriia; Flavobacteriales; Flavobacteriaceae.
UUGCAAUAGGGAUAGCAGCGACAUCCCCCCAACUUGAUUGGGGGAUAUAGCGAAUAGCCCGACGCUUC